Long non-coding RNA from Acanthopagrus latus (yellowfin seabream), 735 nucleotides. RefSeq lists it as uncharacterized. The transcript has 2 exons. NCBI's taxonomy places the organism in Eukaryota, Metazoa, Chordata, Actinopteri, Spariformes, Sparidae. The record is from RefSeq and is a predicted model, not a curated record.
UGCACUGUGACCAAAGGUGCAUUAUGUAAGAAUGUGAAUCCAUUUACAUGUGUGAAUCAAUUUGUGCUGCCAAUGUGUGAACAGGUUGUAAUGUAGCUUUAAAAAAUGAAACCUUCCCUGACUUUCUCGGCCUGUUGACUGAUUUUCUAAGUAGCCUAAAAGACCAAAGUGCCUCGCCUCAGCGCCAUCAGCACUUCAUUUUAAGGAGGAGGUGAUUCACCAGCCCAGGGGAGGUCGGCGCGGAGCUGAUGACUUGUAUGACACAUGAACUUCUCACACUGUCAUUACCCAUGAUCCAUCAUCAGCACCCCAGCCGGGGCCUGUUCUCUUACAGCAGCAGUGUUGAUGAGUGACCAACCAGAUGAAUCACAAUUAAACGCGGCUCCCCUCUCCUCCUCCUCCGCCGUCGCCGCCACCCGCCGCCACUAUAUCACCGAGGUUAUCAGUGCCAGACAGCCCGGCGUGUAAAUUAAACGCAGACAGAUACAGGAGCUGUCAGUCACCCCGCGAUCAGAGCGAGUGCAUCCAUCUGUGUCUCUCCACCUCCGAGCCGCCGAGGCACCAAGGACGUGCAGCAGCCCAUCACCGUUCGGGAAUAGUUCCCAUUUCAGCACCUCCUCUGCUCCUCUACUGUAUGAUUAUCAUGUUCUUCAUGAAUAAAUUUGGUUUUUCCAGCGCACCAGAGCUGUGCUGCAUUCUUCUGUCCUGGGUAAAGACAAAAAAAAAAAAAAAAAA